Molecule: ribosomal RNA, 825 nt
Filed under: Triticum aestivum (bread wheat)
Lineage: Eukaryota; Viridiplantae; Streptophyta; Magnoliopsida; Poales; Poaceae
Description: partial small subunit ribosomal RNA
Source: RNAcentral
AUGGCUAGUAAUUGGAGUUUCAGACAAUUUGGGGAGGUAAUUUGUAGCCAAUAUCCUUGGGGUUUGUUUGAUGAAGUGGUAUACAAAUACUAUGAUGGGGAAAAGAAAUGGGUGACAGUUAGUAAUGAUGAAGAGCUAGCUACCAUGUUUGUUAGGCAUAAAGAGAAAGAUAAUUUUCAUGUGAGGCUGCAAGUUGAUGUGCUUGAGCAGGCAUUUGGACCUAGGAUGACGGGUGCAACAUCUCGGGGAGAACCAAGUCGUCGUAAUGGCAUCUCUAGACAGAACAGUUCAGUUGGUGCACGGAGACGUGGUGGCUCGACAAGUGUGGGAAACAGCAGUAGGGUCCCCCUUGAAGUGGAGCCUGAUGACUACAAUUCUGGGGUUGAUGAAGAUAAGCUAUAUUCUGAUAUUAUUCAGAAUUUACGACGGGCACCUCGGGCUGAAAACCAAGAUGAGGCUCACAAUGCAGUCCGUGUGGAUGAUGACGCGGUGGGUGAGGACGAAGACCUUGCAGCUGUUGAAUGGGAUCCUUUGAACCCUCAUAUGGAAGAAGGUACAGUUUUUGCAUCCAUGAAUGAGUGUAGAAAUGCACUUGUGACAUACUGCAUCAAGGUAGAACGUACUUUCAAAGUUGACAACAGCGAUCAAGUACGUUACAGAGUGCACUGUUCGACUGAGGGUUGUACAUGGAGGCUGCUCGCAUCUAAAAUGCGAAAUAGAACUGAUGUUCAGGUCAAAGCGAACCCUUUUAAGCACACAUGCCAGGAAUCAACCCUUAGGAAGGAUACAAUCAGUAGAGCCAAGUCAAGAUGGGUGGCAGAAUAA